GGUCUUGUACUCACCGCCCGUCACACCAUGGGAGUUGUGUUUGCCUUAAGUCAGGAUGCUAAAUUGGCUACUGCCCACGGCACACACAGCGACUGGGGUGAAGUCGUAACAAGGUAACCGUAGGUGAACCUGCGGUUGGAUCACCUCCUUUCUAGA
RNAcentral lists this ribosomal RNA (156 nucleotides) under Helicobacter pylori. RNAcentral describes it as "partial 16S ribosomal RNA". It matches the Rfam family "Bacterial small subunit ribosomal RNA", at positions 1377 to 1533 of the family's 1533-position model. Lineage: Bacteria; Pseudomonadati; Campylobacterota; Epsilonproteobacteria; Campylobacterales; Helicobacteraceae. The record is from RNAcentral.